GACGAACCGUGCAAACGUUAUUCGGAAUCACUGGGCAUAAAGGGCGCGUAGGCGGCUUGACAAGUCAGGGGUGAAAGCCGGCAGCUUAACUGUCGCAGUGCCUUUGAUACUGUCAAGCUCGAGGGAGGUAGGGGUCUGUGGAACUUCCGGUGGAGCGGUGAAAUGCGUUGAUAUCGGAAGGAACGCCGGUGGCGAAAGCGACGGACUGGAUCUCUUCUGACGCUGAGGCGCGAAAGCUAGGGGAGCAAACGGG
Molecule: ribosomal RNA, 253 nt
Filed under: uncultured bacterium
Lineage: Bacteria
Description: partial 16S ribosomal RNA
Rfam family: Bacterial small subunit ribosomal RNA
Source: RNAcentral